CGGAUCGCAGGCUNCAACCCGCCUGCGUGAAGUUGGAAUCGCUAGUAAUCGCGGAUCAGCAUGCCGCGGUGAAUACGUUCCCGGGCCUUGUACACACCGCCCGUCACACCAUGAGAGUCGGGAACACCCGAAGUCCGUAGCCUAACCGCAAGGGGGGCGCGGCCGAAGGUGGGUUCGAUAAUUGGGGGUGAAGUCGUAACAAGGUACC
RNAcentral lists this ribosomal RNA (208 nucleotides) under uncultured bacterium. RNAcentral's name for it is "partial 16S ribosomal RNA". It matches the Rfam family "Bacterial small subunit ribosomal RNA", at positions 1294 to 1500 of the family's 1533-position model. The record is from RNAcentral.